GACGAACGCUGGCGGCGUGCUUAACACAUGCAAGUCGAACGGAAAGGCCUGCUUUCCCUUGUGGAUUGCGGGUACUCGAGUGGCGAACGGGUGAGUAACACGUGAGUGAUCUGCCCCCAACUUGGGUAUAAGCCUGGGAAACUGGGUCUAAUUCCCGAUAGGACUGCAGGGUGGUGCCUGUGGUGGAAAACGAUUUUCUAGUGGUUGGGGAUGAGCUCGCGGCCUAUCAGCUUGUUGGUGGGGUAAUGGCCUACCAAGGCGGCGACGGGUAGCCGGCCUGGGAGGGUGGACGGGCACAUUGAGACUGAGAUACGGCCCAGACUCCGACGGGAGGCAGCAGUGGGGACUAUUGCACCAUGGGCGGAAGCCUGAUGCAGCGACGCCGCGUGGGGGAUGACGGCCUUCGGGUUGUAAACUCCUUUCGACCGCGAGGAAGCCACCUGGUUGGAAGGGUGGUGACGGUAGUGUUAGAAGAAGCACCGGCUAACUACGUG
RNAcentral lists this ribosomal RNA (494 nucleotides) under uncultured bacterium. Its description in RNAcentral is "partial 16S ribosomal RNA". It matches the Rfam family "Bacterial small subunit ribosomal RNA", at positions 28 to 507 of the family's 1533-position model. The record is from RNAcentral.